This 375-nucleotide ribosomal RNA is filed under the name Aphis vernoniae. RNAcentral's name for it is "bacterial SSU rRNA". It matches the Rfam family "Bacterial small subunit ribosomal RNA", at positions 95 to 471 of the family's 1533-position model. Lineage: Eukaryota; Metazoa; Arthropoda; Insecta; Hemiptera; Aphididae. The record is from RNAcentral.
GCGGCAAACGGGUGAGUAAUAUCUGGGAAUCUACCCAAAAGAGGGGGAUAACUACUAGAAAUGGUAGCUAAUACCGCAUAAAGUUGGAAAACCAAAGUGGGGGACCUUUUAGGCCUCACGCUUUUGGAUGAGCCCAGACGAGAUUAGCUUGUUGGUAAGGUAAAAGCUUACCAAGGCUACGAUCUCUAGCUGGUCUGAGAGGAUAACCAGCCACACUGGAACUGAGACACGGUCCAGACUCCUACGGGAGGCAGCAGUGGGGAAUAUUGCACAAUGGGCGAAAGCCUGAUGCAGCUAUGCCGCGUGUAUGAAGAAGGCCUUAGGGUUGUAAAGUACUUUCAGCGGGGAGGAAAAAAAUAAAACUAAUAAUUUUAU